CAGGGAGACAACAAAAAUGUUUAAUAUUAUUAUUUUGUCACCUUAGGUCGAUCGGUAUCUCACGUUCUUAACUAAUUAAGAAUUUCAAUUCCUAAGUUUUUCUAGGUCACACCCAUUAUUUUCCCUGGCCAUUAGCUCAGUGGUUAGAGCGCACCCUGAUAGGGUGAGUCCCUGUUCAAGUCCAGGAUGGCCCAUAUCUCUAUGUUGGGGGUAUAGCUCAGUUGGUAGAGCGCCUGCUUUGCAAGCAGGAUGUCAGCGGUUCGAGUCCGCUUACCUCCACUGAUUACCACCUCUUCCAUAAUUUGUAGAAAGGGAAUUUUUUUGAGUUGUGAUCAACUUCUGAACGAAUCUAGCUUCCUAAUGAAAGCAUUAAGAUGCUGGACUCAUUGAAUUAAUUUCAUUGUUUUCAGAGAACCUUGACAACUGCAUAGAUUAUUUUUAAAGACAAUAAGCAUCUUUAAUGAUGCAGAUUUAUUAUUUGUGCAAAUGCAUUAAUAACAAUUCUAUUAAGCUGAUGCUUCAA
This 523-nucleotide transfer RNA is filed under the name uncultured Prochlorococcus sp. RNAcentral describes it as "partial 16S-23S ribosomal RNA intergenic spacer". The stretch from base 207 to 279 matches the Rfam family "tRNA". Lineage: Bacteria; Bacillati; Cyanobacteriota; Cyanophyceae; Synechococcales; Prochlorococcaceae. The record is from RNAcentral.